AACUGAUACUACCUGCGGGAACCUGCGGAAGGAUCAUUACUGAAGUGCUUGGAGAUGUUGCUGGCUUCUUCUUAGGAGCAGUGUGCACUCUUCCAACUUUACGCAAUUUCCUUCACACCCCUUGUGCACUCCCUGUAGGGUAACCCCUCUCACAUGAACCUUGGGAGGGGGGAGACUCUAUGUUGCUUUUGCUAUCCUUCACACUUCAUAAAAUGUAUGGUGAUGUUGAAUUAGAAACAA
Molecule: unclassified non-coding RNA, 240 nt
Filed under: soil metagenome
Description: partial contains 5.8S ribosomal RNA, internal transcribed spacer 2, and large subunit ribosomal RNA
Source: RNAcentral